GUCCCCUCCCCCCAGCGCUCCUCCUCAGGGCGGCAGCCCUCUGGGCGCUGCUGGGCAGUGCUUUGCCCCCCCUUCUUCAUGUCCCCUCCGGAGAGCCCCGUCCUCUGCGACGGUAUCCAGUUGUGGCUGUGCCCCCCAGCAUGCAGCCUCGGACUCGCACGUCCAGCCGCCUCCCGGGCACCGCCUUCCCUGCCUCCGGCCAGGGCAGUCUGUCCCUGCAGAUGCUCGCACCAGACCGGCGACAGCCCUGGAAAUCGUGAAUGCUGCACCUCCCUCCGCCGCCGCCCGCCGCCCCUCGUUGGGACUCCUGACUCGCCGCUCGGUCUCGCGGUGGCCCGCCCCCUUGUGGUCCAGGCUUCCAAGGCAGCCAGGACUUUUUCUUCCGCCUUUUUUAAAUUGCGGUAACAUAUACGUAACAUAAAAUGUACCAUUCUAACCA
This is a non-coding RNA of Leptonychotes weddellii (Weddell seal), 439 nucleotides long. The record is from RefSeq and is a predicted model, not a curated record. Lineage: Eukaryota; Metazoa; Chordata; Mammalia; Carnivora; Phocidae.